Megalopta genalis is the source of this 1321-nucleotide non-coding RNA. The record is from RefSeq and is a predicted model, not a curated record. NCBI's taxonomy places the organism in Eukaryota, Metazoa, Arthropoda, Insecta, Hymenoptera, Halictidae.
UUCACAUCUUUGUUACAGGUGAAGUGCAUCGAUCAGUUAAAAUAACUCAAAAUUCAUUGAAAAUACGCCAACAACCAACGAAGCCGUACACAGACGCCUGUCACCAGUGAAACAAGUAGUUCAUCGUGGAGUUCGACACAAAGUUUACAAUUUUGGGGAGACAGAACAGUGCCAAUUAGAUUCGCGACCGCUCGAAUUAAGGAGCAGAGAUCAAGGGGUCGUUCGCGACGGACAAAGGCAAGGGAAAAGUUUUCCUUGAGAGAAAGAAAAACGAGAAGCGUAGAUGUCAGAGGCUGUCACACGCACAAUCGCGAAAGAUAGAAACGAUUCGCACUUGGGAGGAGAGGGGAACCCCUUCUACCGAUGCGAUCCCCUUUCUGGUCACCGACAAUGGUCCACAGGGAGAAAUUGAAUUGGCAACAUCAGUAAACGACGCCGGAGUUCCUACAGCACCCCCGAAAAGGAGCGAGAAACGUGAACGAGCGGGACGAAAGUGAGCUCGUGGAAGGGGUUGCUGGCUGAAGAGGGAAAGAGACGGUGAACAGGGACGCGUUUCACGCCUCGUGGAUUUCAAACCGUUUGAAAUCCAGGUGGAAAUAAUACAACUUUGCGUUCCUUGUUAAAGAUCAAAGGGAACUUACCCCAAUCUCGAUUUCGACGGUCCUAGGUUUCUCUUUCUCUGUUUCUCCCGUUCCUUUCGAUACAUACAGCCAACGGUAAGACGUUUCAUAUCCGUGGGCUCUAUUCAAAACCAUUUACGAAUAGCAUCGUAUUGUUUUUCCCCAAUACAACCGAGUCUUUUGUCUCGACUGCGACGAUACGCGGGCCUAUUUUUUUCAUUUCUCUUAGUGCCAGAUAUGCAACCGCACAUACAAUUUCAGUCUACUGUUUGAUUUCAAAAACUUCAAUUAAUGUUCAACUGCGGCGAGCGAUAUUACAGUCAUUAGCAUUAUGCGAUAUGACAUUUGGUCAACCAUCGCUUAUACCGGCAAUAAAACUAAAACUAAAUUGGUUUAGAACAUGAGAAUAUCGAAAUAGGCAUAUCAGUUUAGUCUCUAAUGAACACAACAUGCACUUCAUAUUUUCUUACAUACAUAUAUUUAGUAUGAAUUAGGCGCUUUUCGAAUUCUUACGACUGCGAGCAUAGAAUUGAGAGAAAAUAAAAAUAUCUAUCAAAAUGAAUCAUCUAAUGCUAUAAUACAACGCUAUAUCAUCAAAUUUCUUACAUUAUUGUUUAUAUUUGUAUUUAUUGUUUCAUAUAAUAUUUUUGUGUUAUUCAGAACAAGCACACGACGUAAUAAAUAGCAAUGUAUAUUACUUA